CUUUUGUUAAAAUUAUUUUUGUUUGAUUUAUAAUGACUUCUGAAAGAAUGAUAUUGAGUGACCCAGACUAUCAAUAAAGAUAAUUAUUUUUUUAAAAACUGCAGCGGUGGUUUUGCCCCGCCCACAUUGUUGCUACGGUUUCCUCUGGAAUCUGUUGUACUGCUUAUAAACACCUGUGGUUCCAUUUUUAGCAUGAGGAUUCCAUCCAGAAUGUCUACACAAGGUAAAUGCAUGUAUCUAAGGGAAUCAGAUGUUACUAUGUUUUUUCUUUGUGGCCAGCAACCCCUGUCUCCCUCCCCAAAAGAAGUUACAAGGUCUGAGUAUUUUUAUUCUGGAAAAAUACCAAGAUUGUCAGUGUUCUUCUGUUGGGUCAGAGGAGAAGACAUGACUGGGAAAGGACAUCAGCAGGACGUGUCAUGGCCCCAUCAGCCACAAGUACCACCUGGAAGUGGAACAUGUCUCCACACCUAUGACACUCUCCUAGUGAUCUUGCCACUCAUUGAGAAAGACUGUAUCCAUGGUGAUCAGGAGAGUAACAAGUGGGAAACUUUCUCAACUGGAACGGAGCCCAUUUCUCCCCCUGGACAACAGUUCUGAUGCUAAUCACGGCAAGGCCCCAGCAGCCUCUUGAAGCGCCACGGAGCAAUCCAUGUUCAACUGUGACCAGAAUUCCAAACGUAGAAAGUAAAAGGUAAUGUUUCCAAAUAACUCAUCAAGAAAUGUUUUCACACGAGCACAGGCCAAUUUGAGCAUCUCUUAAAGAUGUGACAUUGCAGUUACGUUCAUUCCUGUUCUUCCUUCCUUUCUCCCUUCUUGUACUGGUUUGCACAUUCCUGUGAUUCUUGGCAUUAAUAUUCAUUGCUGAUAUUACAAAAUCUGAUUUUCAUAUAUUGAAGAAAAUAUGGCGGUUGCCUUCAAAGGACUCAUAGGUGAAUUGAAACAGUGGCAGAGGACCUAGGGCCUGGGCGUCAGAAUUGGCGCACCUGUUUUUGAAUGGCCUGUGAGCUAUGGAUGCAUUUACAUUUUUAAAAAAUUUUUUUUAAUGUUUAUUUAUUUUUCAGACAGAGAGAGACAGAGCAUGAACGGGGGACAGUCAGAGAGAGAGGGAGACAGAGAAUCCGAAGCAGGCUCCAGGCUCUGAGCUGUCAGCACAGAGCCUGACACGGGGUUCAAACUCAACGAAUGGCGAGAUCAUGACCUGAGCCGAAGUCGGACGCUGAACCGACUGAGCCACCCAGGCGCCCCUGCAUUUACAUUUUUAAAUGAUUGUGGGAAGGGCACCCCGGUGGCUCAGCUGGUUAAGCAUCUGACUCUUUUUUUCAGCUCAGGUCAUGAUCCCAGGGUCUUAGGAUCAAGCCCCAAUUGGGGCUUCAUGCUGAGUAUGGAGCCUGCUCAAGAUUCUCUCUCUUUCUCUCUCCCUCUGCCCCUCCCCCCAAAUACUAAGCAAAAAUAAAUCAGUGAUUAGGGAGAAAUCA
Molecule: long non-coding RNA, 1475 nt
Filed under: Felis catus (domestic cat)
Lineage: Eukaryota; Metazoa; Chordata; Mammalia; Carnivora; Felidae
Description: lncRNA (ENSFCAG00000043157.2)
Source: RNAcentral